UACGUAGGGUGCAAGCGUUGCCCGGAUUUAUUGGGCGUAAAGGGCGCGCAGGCGGCUACGCACGUCCGUUGUGAAAUCGCUCGGCUCAACUGGGCGGGGUCGGCGGAUACGGCGUAGCUGGAGCAAGCUAGGGGGCAAUGGAAUUCCCGGUGUAGUGGUGGAAUGCGUAGAUAUCAGGAGGAACACCAAUGGCGAAGGCAGCACUCUGGGACGUGACUGACGCUGAGACGCGAAAGCGUGGGGAGCAAACAGG
This 253-nucleotide ribosomal RNA is filed under the name uncultured bacterium. Its description in RNAcentral is "partial 16S ribosomal RNA". It matches the Rfam family "Bacterial small subunit ribosomal RNA", at positions 524 to 776 of the family's 1533-position model. The record is from RNAcentral.